UUUUAUUUGACCUUGACCUCAUGUUCAUGUUUUAUUGCUUAGUGUUAAGUAUUUGUGUUUUGGUCUGUUUUUCUUAAUUUAUAAGCAAUAGGUCCGCUAUAUUUGUUGUAUGGAAGAAUUGUUAGCUGUACAUGUCUGCCUGGCAUGGUUCAUCUGACUUUGACCUCGUUUUCAUGGUUCAUUGAUCAAUGUUUAGUUUUCUUGGUUAAUGUUGAGUUUAUGUGACAGUUGUAAUAAAGCUUUAUAUUUAGGACUAUCAAUAUAAUAUCAAUGAUUAGGAAAGAAGGCGAGACAUUUCUGCAUGUGCACUCUUGUUACCUAUUAUUCUGUUUGUUUUGUUCACACAUUGUUGUCAAUAUAAUGGAGUUUGAUGCGACUGUCAUACAAAAGAGAAGUUUAACCAGCUUUAAAAUCAGGUUUAAUCCACCAUUUUCCGUUUUGAAUUUUCCUCGGAGUUCAAUAUUUUUGUGAUUUUAGUUUUUAGGAAUGCCC
Molecule: long non-coding RNA, 492 nt
Filed under: Mytilus galloprovincialis (Mediterranean mussel)
Lineage: Eukaryota; Metazoa; Mollusca; Bivalvia; Mytilida; Mytilidae
Source: RNAcentral